GGGGUGUGCUCAGAGCAGGGGGCCCCAAGAGUGGCUUCUCUGUUUAUAACACACCCGAGAGGAAUCUGGGUUCGUUGUGACAGGGGGCACACAGCUUGUGGCCUUCCUAUAAACAAUCGCCCUACAUGG
Small nucleolar RNA from Trichechus manatus latirostris (Florida manatee), 129 nucleotides. RefSeq annotates it as small nucleolar RNA SNORA11. The transcript has a single exon. The record is from RefSeq and is a predicted model, not a curated record. NCBI's taxonomy places the organism in Eukaryota, Metazoa, Chordata, Mammalia, Sirenia, Trichechidae.